CCUACGGGAGGCAGCAGGGGGGAAUUUUGGACAAUGGGCGAAAGCCUGAUCCAGCAAUGCCGCGUGAGUGAAGAAGGCCUUCGGGUUGUAAAGCUCUUUUGUCAGGGAAGAAACGGUGAAAGCUAAUAUCUUUUGCUAAUGACGGUACCUGAAGAAUAAGCACCGGCUAACUACGUGCCAGCAGCCGCGGUAAUACGUAGGGUGCAAGCGUUAAUCGGAAUUACUGGGCGUAAAGCGUGCGCAGGCGGUUUUGUAAGUCUGAUGUGAAAUCCCCGGGCUCAACCUGGGAAUUGCAUUGGAGACUGCAAGGCUAGAAUCUGGCAGAGGGGGGUAGAAUUCCACGUGUAGCAGUGAAAUGCGUAGAUAUGUGGAGGAACACCGAUGGCGAAGGCAGCCCCCUGGGUCAAGAUUGACGCUCAUGCACGAAAGCGUGGGGAGCAAACAGGAUUAGAUACCCUGGUAGUCCACGCCCUAAACGAUGUCUACUAGUUGUCGGGUCUUAAUUGACUUGGUAACGCAGCUAACGCGUGAAGUAGACCGCCUGGGGGAGGUACGGUCGCGAGAAGUUAAACGUUAAAGUAAAGUUAGUACGGCGUGAGACGUGACCGACGGACGACGACGAGGGAGGUUAGGG
Molecule: ribosomal RNA, 634 nt
Filed under: uncultured bacterium
Lineage: Bacteria
Description: bacterial SSU rRNA
Rfam family: Bacterial small subunit ribosomal RNA (bases 1-542)
Source: RNAcentral